UCGCAAUCCUGUUUCAGCCUCCUGAACAGCUGGGAUUACAAGCAUGUGUGACUGUGCCUGGCUGAUGUUUAGCAUUUUGUCAUAUGCUUGUUGGCCAUCUGUAUUCUACUGAGAAAUAUCUGUUAAGAUCAUUUGCUCAUUUGUUAAAGAAUAUUUAUCUUUAAUUUUAGGUGGACACGUUACUUUGUUUCUUAUGUGGUACUAAGGAUCUAAACCAGUGCCUUAUGCAUGCUAGGCAAGCACUCUACCACUGAGCCACGACCCCAGCCCCCAUUUACUCAUUUUUUAAAAAAAAUUUUUAAUAUUUAUUUUUUAGUUUUUGGCGGACACAACAUCUUUGUUUGUAUGUGGUGCUGAGGAUCGAACCCGGGCCUCACGCAUGCCAGGCGAGCACGCUACCGCUUGAGCCACAUCUCCAGCCCCAUUUACUCAUUUUUUUAAGUUGGAUUAUUCCUUGAGGUUUUGAGUUCCUUAUAUAUCUUACACAUUAAUCCUUUGUCUGUGAAUAGUUUACGUAUUUUCUUCCAUGCAUUAUGUUGUCUUUUUUGUUCUGUUGUUUCCUUUGUUCUGUUGAUUGUUUAGUUACCUGUUUAAUAUAAUUCCAUUUGCCUUUUUUUGCUUCUGUUGCCUCAGCUUUUGGGGUCUUAUCCAAAAAGCCAUUGUUAUAUCUACAUCUUGAAAUGUUUCCUUUAUGUUUUAUUCUAGUAAUUUCAUAGUUUUGGCUCUUACAUUUAGGUCCUUGAUCCACUUUGAGUUGAUUUGUUUUAUAUAUGGUGAGAGGGGUCGAGUUUCAACCUUCUGAUCUCCAGCUUUUCUACACCACUAUUGAAGAGGCUGUGCUUUCUCCAGGGUACAACUUUGAUGCCUUUGUUGAGAAUCAGUUGGCUAUAGAUGCCUGGUUUAUUUCUGUAUACAUAACUGAACUUUUUCAGUUUCUAAAAUGUGAAGAGAAUGAUUGGAAACAUGAUGAAAAUGUUGCAAUAUCUUCAGAAGUGCAUAAAAGAAUACCAUUUAAGUUUAUAAAGUACAAAUCUAUGAAGGUACCAAAUAUAGUAUUUUUAAAUCUCUCAUACAUUUCUUUUGGAAUUCCUUAGGUAAUAAACCUUACUUUCCCAUAACACCAUGGUUCCAAGCAAAUAUUUUCAGUUAUAAUAAAUUAUGAUUUCUAACUACUCAUUUAAAAAAGAAUAACUGCCAUAUAUUGAAUGUAGACUGAUUGGCCCAAGUAAUGAGCUGAGUAAUUUGCCUGCACUCUGUGCUUACAACAGCCUUUGAGAAAGAUGCUUUUAUCUCCUUGUUUAGUUUUGAAAAUGGAUUUUUGGAGAGACUCAGUUUGGAGAGACUCCUCUGAGGGUCACAACCUAUAGUGAUGGGAUCAGGGUUUGAACAUCAUGAG
Molecule: long non-coding RNA, 1396 nt
Filed under: Marmota monax (woodchuck)
Lineage: Eukaryota; Metazoa; Chordata; Mammalia; Rodentia; Sciuridae
Source: RNAcentral